This 498-nucleotide ribosomal RNA is filed under the name uncultured bacterium. RNAcentral describes it as "partial 16S ribosomal RNA". It matches the Rfam family "Bacterial small subunit ribosomal RNA", at positions 30 to 523 of the family's 1533-position model. The record is from RNAcentral.
AUUGAACGCUGGCGGCAUGCCUCACACAUGCAAGUCGAACGGUAACAGGUCUUCGGAUGCUGACGAGUGGCGAACGGGUGAGUAAUACAUCGGAACGUGCCUAGUAGUGGGGGAUAACUACUCGAAAGAGUGGCUAAUACCGCAUGAGAUCUACGGAUGAAAGCAGGGGAUCGCAAGACCUUGUGCUACUAGAGCGGCCGAUGGCAGAUUAGGUAGUUGGUGGGAUAAAAGCUUACCAAGCCGACGAUCUGUAGCUGGUCUGAGAGGACGAUCAGCCACACUGGGACUGAGACACGGCCCAGACUCCUACGGGAGGCAGCAGUGGGGAAUUUUGGACAAUGGGCGCAAGCCUGAUCCAGCAAUGCCGCGUGCAGGAUGAAGGCCUUCGGGUUGUAAACUGCUUUUGUACGGAACGAAAAGCCCUGGGUUAAUACCCUGGGGUCAUGACGGUACCGUAGGAAUAAGCACCGGCUAACUACGUGCCAGCAGCCGCGGUAA